This 500-nucleotide long non-coding RNA is filed under the name Mustela putorius furo (domestic ferret). RNAcentral's name for it is "lncRNA (ENSMPUG00000031897.1)". Lineage: Eukaryota; Metazoa; Chordata; Mammalia; Carnivora; Mustelidae. The record is from RNAcentral.
GCGGAAUGCAGAGUGAGUUGAUGGCAAGAAGUUGAUCCAUGGAGAAAAUGUCUGAAAUCUGCAUUCUCUUGCCCCUGAGGCCACAUAUACAUCUGAGUUUUCAUCUGGUAUCUCCCUUCAGUCUGCUGAGAAGUGUGGCGAAUAGCAACUGCCGAGGAUAUCGGGCAGUGUUCGACAUCCCUUCCCAGAAACUGAUCCAAGGUGCAUGUGAGAUAUGCAAAGAACAAAUGCAAGACCGUUCCUUCUUCAGUGCUAGGAAAUUAGAUGGAGGAUAGUUCUGAUGAACCAGUUCUGCAGGAGUUACCAGCGUGUCAUUUACUAAAUAAUUACCAGAGGACAGGAAAUGUCUUUGACUCUAACCUAGUGGGGAAAUAAUUGGAGGUGAGGUGUCAGGGUCCUACUUCAGUUCAUGCCUUUACUCUGGCCUUGCUCUCCGAUUUAUGACAAACUACCUCAUUUUGGUAAAAGAGCAUGAGUCCAGUCAUCCACAAUAGCUCUAU